Molecule: long non-coding RNA, 382 nt
Organism: Osmerus eperlanus (European smelt)
Lineage: Eukaryota; Metazoa; Chordata; Actinopteri; Osmeriformes; Osmeridae
Exons: 3
Source: RefSeq, a predicted model, not a curated record
CAGUGACUGACUACGGUUCAUACUGUAGGUAAUUAUGUAUAUAUUUCGCUGGUGACCAAGAUGACUGGUGAUGUCACUGUGGAUGAUUGGUGUCGAGAGAUCCUUCGCCAGAACGGAACCCUAACCCUCGUAAAAACAGUCCUGCAAUUACUACAAACACUGAGGAUGAUGGCUUUGAGAUUUUGUUCAGAUACUGGCCCCAAUCUUUCCUGUUGAUACCAUUAAGACGUCACAGCGGAUGGGGAAGAGGAAAGGGUCAGGGAAAGACUUGCUAUUCACCGUGGUCACCUGGCUCUUGCCUGAGAUCAUUUUCACAAGCUUAGCAACCUACACUUAACAGGUCAACUCAACCUAAUUCCAAAGACAGAGACGAUUGGUUUAU